UACGUAGGCGGAAGAUUAAGUCAGUGGUGAAAUCCUGCAGCUUAACUGUAGAACUGUCAUUGAUACUGCUUUUCUUGAAUUUAGUUGAGGUAGGCGGAAUGUGUAAUGUAGCGGUGAAAUGCUUAGAUAUUACACAGAACACCGAUUGCGAAGGCAGCUUACUAAACUAUGAUUGACGCUGAGGUACGAAAGCGUGGGGAGCGAACAGGAUUAGAUACCCGAGUAGUCC
Molecule: ribosomal RNA, 229 nt
Filed under: uncultured bacterium
Lineage: Bacteria
Description: partial 16S ribosomal RNA
Rfam family: Bacterial small subunit ribosomal RNA
Source: RNAcentral